AGAGUUUGAUCAUGGCUCAGAACGAACGCUGGCGGCGUGGCUAAGGCAUGCAAGUCGAACGGAGUGUGUGGAAGGUAACGGAAGCACACUUAGUGGCGAACGGGUGAGGAAUAGCUAGGUAACGUACCCUGGACUCAGGGAUAGCGGCGUCCGCCUUCGGGCGGGCUUUGCGAAAGUGCCGGUAAUACCUGAUGAUAUCCUGGAUGCUCAUGCAUUCAGGAUCAAGGGUCCGCCGGUCUGGGAGCGGCCUAGCUCCUAUCAGCUAGUUGGUGAGGUAACGGCUCACCAAGGCGACGACAGGUACCAGGCGUGAGAGCGCGAUCUGGCACAUCGGGACUGAGACACUGCCCGGACAUCUACGGAUGGCUGCAGCAACGAAUCUUCCGCAAUGGGCGAAAGCCUGACGGAGCGACGCCGCGUGCAGGACGAAGCACUUCGGUGUGUAAACUGCUGUCAGGGGCUAGGAAGAAAGUGACUAACCCCAAAGAGCCCG
Molecule: ribosomal RNA, 493 nt
Filed under: uncultured Dictyoglomus sp.
Lineage: Bacteria; Pseudomonadati; Dictyoglomota; Dictyoglomia; Dictyoglomales; Dictyoglomaceae
Description: bacterial SSU rRNA
Rfam family: Bacterial small subunit ribosomal RNA
Source: RNAcentral